Molecule: transfer RNA, 77 nt
Filed under: Spirochaetales bacterium
Lineage: Bacteria; Pseudomonadati; Spirochaetota; Spirochaetia; Spirochaetales
Description: tRNA-Ala
Rfam family: tRNA
About the family: Transfer RNA (tRNA) molecules are approximately 80 nucleotides in length. Their secondary structure includes four short double-helical elements and three loops (D, anti-codon, and T loops). Further hydrogen bonds mediate the characteristic L-shaped molecular structure. tRNAs have two regions of fundamental functional importance: the anti-codon, which is responsible for specific mRNA codon recognition, and the 3' end, to which the tRNAs corresponding amino acid is attached (by aminoacyl-tRNA synthetases). tRNAs cope with the degeneracy of the genetic code in two manners: having more than one tRNA (with a specific anti-codon) for a particular amino acid; and 'wobble' base-pairing, i.e. permitting non-standard base-pairing at the 3rd anti-codon position.
Source: RNAcentral
GGGGGUGUAGCUCAGCUGGGUAGAGUACUUGAAUGGCAUUCAAGGGGUCACGGGUUCGACUCCCGUUACCUCCACUA